CGAACUAAAAAUGAUUAAUUUAGUAACAUUAUUACUAACAAUUAACAUUUACCUAUAAAAACAUUUUCUAACCCCUUUCUCUUUCGCGCGUCUUCAAUCUGAAGUGCACCGCCUCCAUUCACAGUGAAAGCUCGGCCCCUAAGUAUUCUCGCUUCCGCCGUCAUUUUCGUCGCACCUCCAAACAAUGGAGCACCACCGUCGCUCAUCGGAGCUCCACUUUGCUCCCUGAUCGACGCUCACAAAGGCUCCAGGGAGGAGAAAUUGAGAAAUCGAGGACUCUCAUAUUCACCUGUGAAUCACGUCUGAGACAGAGAGGCCUAAGAUGGGUUAGUCUUCAAUCUUGGCAUCUUUAUAUGCAUGCAGUGUUAAGGAAUGCAUCGAAGUCUUGGGAUACAGAUCUCAAAGCAGGUUUGCUCAGCUACUUUGAUACCUGGCUCCUGGAGCAGUUUGCAUUCAUUCAAUGUGUAGGAAUUUAAAGGGUCAUGGCAUUGUAGAAUCGCAAAUACUCACUCUGCAUCCAGGAAUGAAGGUUGGGAUGUUGAAAGAAGGUGCCAACAAACCCUCGGCAAGGCAACACAAUUAUAUAUACCCACAUGAUAAGUUAUUAAAUAAGCGAAAGCAAGGGGAAAAUAGAGAAGAAAACUUGGCGAAAGCUAUUAAGGGUGACAAGGAUGCCAUGGACACUCAUCUUGGUGGAGCAGGAAUUGAUAUUGAGAGAAAGCCUUGAGUCAAAAUCUUUACCAAGCAAACAGCCACCAACUGGUUCCAAGAAAUCUGGUUCAAGGGGUGAGGUAGGUUUCAAAAACUUGGCUAUGAAUCUAGAUAUAAUUUAGCACCGUCUUGAAAUUGUGUAGUUAGAACUAGGCUUAAUAGCACUUUUGGUCCCUCACGUUAGCUAUAUGUGCGAAAACCGUCCCCUAAGUAAGAAAAUAGCAAAAAACGUCCUCACUUUGUCAAACGGCAGCACUUUUGGUCCCUCCUCACUAUUCCGUCAAAAUACUAACGUUUUCUGUCAAAUAUUAAACGGUUUUCUCAGAAAAAUUAAUAAAAAAUGAAAACCCAGAAAAUUUAUGAUGCUCUUCAUCAUAGUCAGUAUGUUCUUCAUCUUCUUCAGUUAUUUUUCAGAAAAAUAACAAACCCAUCAUCAACAACAGGCCACCAAAACAGUCCCCCUCAAUCUUUCCCCUCCAUCAUAAGAAAAAAAUCAUGUUGUUGCUCAAUUCAGGACUGAGAACAGGGAGAAUUUAGGAGGUGCUUUAAAUCAACCACUCACAAUUUCUCAGGUGGCUGCCAUCGCUGCACAAGAUCAAGAUGAACAACAUGAACAAUGACACUGACAGUUACGGCGUCACCACCGGCUUCGGUGCCACCUCCCAUCUCAGAACGGAAAAUGGCAAUACUUUUGAAACCCUUUUCAUCUGAGCAGCGGGCUCGUUGACGGCAGAGGCGCGAUGAAGAUGUUGGUUUCAGAUUUGAUGCAAACCGAGUUAAUUGCACGAUAAAGAGGGAACUGAAAUGUAGAUGCUAACCGAGUUGAUUUUUGAAUGAAACUGCAGAAAUUUCAUAUCUGACUCUCACCCACACGACAAACAAAAUCCCUAAUUUUCCGAUGCCUGAAUCGGUGAAAUUUCAGAUCUGGCUCUCUCCUCGACUUGCUUCUUUCUCGAUCUCAUCCUCC
This is a long non-coding RNA of Lotus japonicus, 1678 nucleotides long. RefSeq lists it as uncharacterized. The transcript has 6 exons. The record is from RefSeq and is a predicted model, not a curated record. NCBI's taxonomy places the organism in Eukaryota, Viridiplantae, Streptophyta, Magnoliopsida, Fabales, Fabaceae.